This 2904-nucleotide ribosomal RNA is filed under the name Escherichia coli. RNAcentral describes it as "23S ribosomal RNA". It matches the Rfam family "Bacterial large subunit ribosomal RNA". Lineage: Bacteria; Pseudomonadati; Pseudomonadota; Gammaproteobacteria; Enterobacterales; Enterobacteriaceae. The record is from RNAcentral.
GGUUAAGCGACUAAGCGUACACGGUGGAUGCCCUGGCAGUCAGAGGCGAUGAAGGACGUGCUAAUCUGCGAUAAGCGUCGGUAAGGUGAUAUGAACCGUUAUAACCGGCGAUUUCCGAAUGGGGAAACCCAGUGUGAUUCGUCACACUAUCAUUAACUGAAUCCAUAGGUUAAUGAGGCGAACCGGGGGAACUGAAACAUCUAAGUACCCCGAGGAAAAGAAAUCAACCGAGAUUCCCCCAGUAGCGGCGAGCGAACGGGGAGGAGCCCAGAGCCUGAAUCAGUGUGUGUGUUAGUGGAAGCGUCUGGAAAGGCGCGCGAUACAGGGUGACAGCCCCGUACACAAAAACGCACAUGCUGUGAGCUCGAUGAGUAGGGCGGGACACGUGGUAUCCUGUCUGAAUAUGGGGGGACCAUCCUCCAAGGCUAAAUACUCCUGACUGACCGAUAGUGAACCAGUACCGUGAGGGAAAGGCGAAAAGAACCCCGGCGAGGGGAGUGAAAAAGAACCUGAAACCGUGUACGUACAAGCAGUGGGAGCCUCUUUUAUGGGGUGACUGCGUACCUUUUGUAUAAUGGGUCAGCGACUUAUAUUCUGUAGCAAGGUUAACCGAAUAGGGGAGCCGAAGGGAAACCGAGUCUUAACUGGGCGUUAAGUUGCAGGGUAUAGACCCGAAACCCGGUGAUCUAGCCAUGGGCAGGUUGAAGGUUGGGUAACACUAACUGGAGGACCGAACCGACUAAUGUUGAAAAAUUAGCGGAUGACUUGUGGCUGGGGGUGAAAGGCCAAUCAAACCGGGAGAUAGCUGGUUCUCCCCGAAAGCUAUUUAGGUAGCGCCUCGUGAAUUCAUCUCCGGGGGUAGAGCACUGUUUCGGCAAGGGGGUCAUCCCGACUUACCAACCCGAUGCAAACUGCGAAUACCGGAGAAUGUUAUCACGGGAGACACACGGCGGGUGCUAACGUCCGUCGUGAAGAGGGAAACAACCCAGACCGCCAGCUAAGGUCCCAAAGUCAUGGUUAAGUGGGAAACGAUGUGGGAAGGCCCAGACAGCCAGGAUGUUGGCUUAGAAGCAGCCAUCAUUUAAAGAAAGCGUAAUAGCUCACUGGUCGAGUCGGCCUGCGCGGAAGAUGUAACGGGGCUAAACCAUGCACCGAAGCUGCGGCAGCGACGCUUAUGCGUUGUUGGGUAGGGGAGCGUUCUGUAAGCCUGUGAAGGUGUACUGUGAGGUAUGCUGGAGGUAUCAGAAGUGCGAAUGCUGACAUAAGUAACGAUAAAGCGGGUGAAAAGCCCGCUCGCCGGAAGACCAAGGGUUCCUGUCCAACGUUAAUCGGGGCAGGGUGAGUCGACCCCUAAGGCGAGGCCGAAAGGCGUAGUCGAUGGGAAACAGGUUAAUAUUCCUGUACUUGGUGUUACUGCGAAGGGGGGACGGAGAAGGCUAUGUUGGCCGGGCGACGGUUGUCCCGGUUUAAGCGUGUAGGCUGGUUUUCCAGGCAAAUCCGGAAAAUCAAGGCUGAGGCGUGAUGACGAGGCACUACGGUGCUGAAGCAACAAAUGCCCUGCUUCCAGGAAAAGCCUCUAAGCAUCAGGUAACAUCAAAUCGUACCCCAAACCGACACAGGUGGUCAGGUAGAGAAUACCAAGGCGCUUGAGAGAACUCGGGUGAAGGAACUAGGCAAAAUGGUGCCGUAACUUCGGGAGAAGGCACGCUGAUAUGUAGGUGAAGUCCCUCGCGGAUGGAGCUGAAAUCAGUCGAAGAUACCAGCUGGCUGCAACUGUUUAUUAAAAACACAGCACUGUGCAAACACGAAAGUGGACGUAUACGGUGUGACGCCUGCCCGGUGCCGGAAGGUUAAUUGAUGGGGUCAGCGCAAGCGAAGCUCUUGAUCGAAGCCCCGGUAAACGGCGGCCGUAACUAUAACGGUCCUAAGGUAGCGAAAUUCCUUGUCGGGUAAGUUCCGACCUGCACGAAUGGCGUAAUGAUGGCCAGGCUGUCUCCACCCGAGACUCAGUGAAAUUGAACUCGCUGUGAAGAUGCAGUGUACCCGCGGCAAGACGGAAAGACCCCGUGAACCUUUACUAUAGCUUGACACUGAACAUUGAGCCUUGAUGUGUAGGAUAGGUGGGAGGCUUUGAAGUGUGGACGCCAGUCUGCAUGGAGCCGACCUUGAAAUACCACCCUUUAAUGUUUGAUGUUCUAACGUGGACCCGUGAUCCGGGUUGCGGACAGUGUCUGGUGGGUAGUUUGACUGGGGCGGUCUCCUCCUAAAGAGUAACGGAGGAGCACGAAGGUUGGCUAAUCCUGGUCGGACAUCAGGAGGUUAGUGCAAUGGCAUAAGCCAGCUUGACUGCGAGCGUGACGGCGCGAGCAGGUGCGAAAGCAGGUCAUAGUGAUCCGGUGGUUCUGAAUGGAAGGGCCAUCGCUCAACGGAUAAAAGGUACUCCGGGGAUAACAGGCUGAUACCGCCCAAGAGUUCAUAUCGACGGCGGUGUUUGGCACCUCGAUGUCGGCUCAUCACAUCCUGGGGCUGAAGUAGGUCCCAAGGGUAUGGCUGUUCGCCAUUUAAAGUGGUACGCGAGCUGGGUUUAGAACGUCGUGAGACAGUUCGGUCCCUAUCUGCCGUGGGCGCUGGAGAACUGAGGGGGGCUGCUCCUAGUACGAGAGGACCGGAGUGGACGCAUCACUGGUGUUCGGGUUGUCAUGCCAAUGGCACUGCCCGGUAGCUAAAUGCGGAAGAGAUAAGUGCUGAAAGCAUCUAAGCACGAAACUUGCCCCGAGAUGAGUUCUCCCUGACUCCUUGAGAGUCCUGAAGGAACGUUGAAGACGACGACGUUGAUAGGCCGGGUGUGUAAGCGCAGCGAUGCGUUGAGCUAACCGGUACUAAUGAACCGUGAGGCUUAACCUU